GGAAGUAAAAGUUGUAACAAGGUUUCCGUAGGUGAACCUGCGGAAGGAUCAUUAUUGAAUGAAACACUUCUGGCUUUAUGCUGUUGUGCUGGCCCUUUGGGCAAUGUGCACACGGCUCUGGUCACUUGUUUCUUCUGUUCCACCUGUGCACUGCCUGUAGACACGCUGUGUCUAUGAUAUUUGUUAACACACAACAAUGUUAGUUGGCAUGUUAUAUAUAAUAAUAAAAUAUACAACUUUCAACAACGGAUCUCUUGGCUCUC
Molecule: unclassified non-coding RNA, 263 nt
Filed under: plant metagenome
Description: partial contains small subunit ribosomal RNA, internal transcribed spacer 1, and 5.8S ribosomal RNA
Rfam family: Eukaryotic small subunit ribosomal RNA (bases 1-54)
Source: RNAcentral